ACGGCUCAGUAACACGUGCCAUAACCUGCCCAAGGGUCCGGGAUAACCCCGGGAAACUGGGGAUAAUACCGGAUGGAUCACUUAUGCUGGAAUGCUUGGUGGUCGAAAGGUGACGCCCUUGGAUGGGUCUGCGGCGGAUUAGGUUGACGCCGGUGUAACGUACCGGCGUGCCUGUAAUCCGUACGGGUUGUGGGAGCAAGAGCCCGGAGAUGGAUUCUGAGACACGAAUCCAGGCCCUACGGGGCGCAGCAGGCGCGAAAACUCUACAAUGCAGGCAACUGCGAUAGGGGGACAUCGAGUGGCAUCCACCUUGGGUGCCUGUCCCACCGUCUAAAAAACGGUGGUUAGCAAGGGCCGGGCAAGACCGGUGCCAGCCGCCGCGGUAAUACCGGCGGCUCGAGUGGUGGCCGAUAUUAUUGAGUCUAAAGGGUCCGUAGCCGGCUUUGCAAGUCCCCUGGGAAAUCCAGCGGCUUAACCGUUGGGCUUUCAUGGGAUACUACAUUGCUUGGGACUGGGAGAGGUAGGAGGUACUCGGGGGGUAGGGGUGAAAUCCUGUAAUCCCCCGGGGACCACCGGUGGCGAAGGCGUCCUACCAGAACAGGUCCGACGGUGAGGGACGAAAGCUAGGGGCACGAACCGGAUUAGAUACCCGGGUAGUCCUAGCCGUAAACGAUGCCCGCUAGGUGUCACGGCGGUCGUGAAUCGCCGUGGUGCCGUAGGGAAGCCGCGAAGCGGGCCACUUGGGAAGUACGGCCGCAAGGCUGAAACUUAAAGGAAUUGGCGGGGGAGCAC
This 792-nucleotide ribosomal RNA is filed under the name uncultured Methanosarcinaceae archaeon. Its description in RNAcentral is "bacterial SSU rRNA". It matches the Rfam family "Archaeal small subunit ribosomal RNA", at positions 85 to 879 of the family's 1478-position model. The record is from RNAcentral. Lineage: Archaea; Methanobacteriati; Methanobacteriota; Methanomicrobia; Methanosarcinales; Methanosarcinaceae.